AGUUGGAGAGGACAGGAAAGGAGGGCGUGGCUUCCGGCGUUUGGCGGGAUCUUUGUCUCUCGCUGGCGUUGGCACAGGAACUUGGGAUCCAUCUCCUCUUUCGCCUCCUCCACCUUGGGAGCCCCGGGCUACUCUCUCACAGACCCUGUUGCCCUGUGAUCUGUAGGUCCUUGGGGACCCACAGUUAAGAUACCAGGACAUCCUGGAAGCUGGGAAACGAUUUCUUCCAGACCAUGGCUGGAGAAGUAAAGAAGGUGUGUUUUGCCUGAUUCAGGGACUAUAGAGAGAACCAAGUUCUGCAGGCCUGUCACCUAAGUCUCAGAUAUGUAUUCAUUUCCUACCACCGUAGUGGAAGAGAGACUAUCCGUGUCUUUACACCUGGUAGCAUUUCCAAAAGUAAGCUGUGAGAUUCUGCUUGAAAUCACCUCUCAGACAAAUAAAAAACAGACCUGGGAGACAUGCUACACUCAUUCUGCUGAAGAAAUAGUAUAUUUUGCAGACCCAGGCUGGCUUCUCCUUCUGUUCCUGGUUCACCGAGUGCAGUGUGUGCUCAUUGCAUCCUGUGCAAGCGUCACUGUGCUGUGUGCUACUGCCUAGGUAAGCAUCAUUCUUCGGGGAGAACCUUUCUGAAAACAAAGCUGCAUUCCAAAAAGUUAAAACCAUGCUACUUACUGUACUGAGGUAAAAAUUAAAAGACCUAGGGGACUCAUCCAAAAGUUAAAACAUAAAUAAAUAACUUGGAACAUUAA
Molecule: long non-coding RNA, 749 nt
Organism: Gorilla gorilla gorilla (western lowland gorilla)
Lineage: Eukaryota; Metazoa; Chordata; Mammalia; Primates; Hominidae
Exons: 4
Source: RefSeq, a predicted model, not a curated record